AGGUUAUCAUUCUCGACUUCAGCAGCUGCCAGCUUCUGCCGCCUGCUGCUUCAGGAAGGACCGGAGGAGGAUCGGCAACAGGAACAGCCGGAUGCCAGUUUUGGUCAAAAGAUUGAGGCAGAUCUCCCGAGACCCUUACCAUCGAGACUUUUGGCUGCCCUCUGUUGGGAA
Long non-coding RNA from Cynoglossus semilaevis (tongue sole), 171 nucleotides. RefSeq lists it as uncharacterized. The record is from RefSeq and is a predicted model, not a curated record. The transcript has 3 exons. NCBI's taxonomy places the organism in Eukaryota, Metazoa, Chordata, Actinopteri, Pleuronectiformes, Cynoglossidae.